This 259-nucleotide ribosomal RNA is filed under the name uncultured bacterium. RNAcentral's name for it is "partial 16S ribosomal RNA". It matches the Rfam family "Bacterial small subunit ribosomal RNA", at positions 95 to 354 of the family's 1533-position model. The record is from RNAcentral.
UUGGCGGACGGGUGGAGUAACGCGUGGAAAACCUGCCGUAUACUGGGGGAUAACACUUAGAAUAGGUGCUAAUACCGCAUAAGCGCACAGCUUCGCAUGAAGCGGUGUGAAAAACUCUGGUGGUAUACGAUGGUUCCGCGUCUGAUUAGCUAGUUGGUGGGGUAAUGGCCUACCAAGGCAACGAUCAGUAGCCGGCCUGAGAGGGUGAACGGCCACAUUGGGACUGAGACACGGCCCAAACUCCUACGGGAGGCAGCAG